This 442-nucleotide ribosomal RNA is filed under the name Bacillus pumilus. RNAcentral describes it as "bacterial SSU rRNA". It matches the Rfam family "Bacterial small subunit ribosomal RNA", at positions 551 to 991 of the family's 1533-position model. Lineage: Bacteria; Bacillati; Bacillota; Bacilli; Caryophanales; Bacillaceae. The record is from RNAcentral.
UUAUUGGGCGUAAGGGCUCGCAGGCGGUUUCUUAAGUCUGAUGUGAAAGCCCCCGCCCCCUACCGGGGAGGGUCAUUGGAAACUGGGAAACUUGAGUGCCCAUGAGGAGAGUGGAAUUCCACGUGUAGCGGUGAAAUGCGUAGAGAUGUGGAGGAACACCAGUGGCGAAGGCGACUCUCUGGUCUGUAACUGACGCUGAGGAGCGAAAGCGUGGGGAGCGAACAGGAUUAGAUACCCUGGCAGUCCACGCCGUAAACGAUGAGUGCUAAGUGUUAGGGGGCCUCCGCCCCUUAGUGCUGCAGCUAACGCAUUAAGCACUCCGCCUGGGCAGUACGGUCGCAAGACUGAAACUCAAAGGAAUUGACGGGGGCCCGCACAAGCGGUGGAGCAUGUGGUUUAAUUCUAAACAACGUGCAUAACCUUACCUGGUCUUGACAUCCUC